GACCUCUUGUGGUUCAUAAGUAUGAUGAUUGAGAUUCUGUGUCAUUGUGUGAGAUUGCGCCUCCUUCAAACCGUGCUGUGACAUCAGCCCAUUACCUGAUC
RNAcentral lists this small nucleolar RNA (101 nucleotides) under Sciurus vulgaris (Eurasian red squirrel). Its description in RNAcentral is "Small nucleolar RNA U13 (ENSSVLG00005019488.1)". It matches the Rfam family "Small nucleolar RNA U13". The record is from Rfam by way of RNAcentral. Lineage: Eukaryota; Metazoa; Chordata; Mammalia; Rodentia; Sciuridae.